CCUACGGUGGCGCUGCAGUGGGGAAUAUUGGACAAUGGGCGAAAGCCUGAUCCAGCCAUGCCGCGUGUGUGAAGAAGGCCUUCGGGUUGUAAAGCACUUUCAGUGGGGAAGAAAGCCUUGGGGCUAAUACCCUCGAGGAAGGACAUCACCCACAGAAGAAGCACCGGCUAACUCCGUGCCAGCAGCCGCGGUAAUACGGAGGGUGCGAGCGUUAAUCGGAAUUACUGGGCGUAAAGCGCGCGUAGGCGGUCUGAUAAGCCGGUUGUGAAAGCCCCGGGCUCAACCUGGGAACGGCAUCCGGAACUGUCAGGCUAGAGUGCAGGAGAGGAAGGUAGAAUUCCCGGUGUAGCGGUGAAAUGCGUAGAGAUCGGGAGGAAUACCAGUGGCGAAGGCGGCCUUCUGGACUGACACUGACGCUGAGGUGCGAAAGCGUGGGUAGCAAACAGGACUAGAUACCCGAGUAGUC
This 466-nucleotide ribosomal RNA is filed under the name Vreelandella stevensii. Its description in RNAcentral is "partial 16S ribosomal RNA". It matches the Rfam family "Bacterial small subunit ribosomal RNA", at positions 338 to 795 of the family's 1533-position model. The record is from RNAcentral. Lineage: Bacteria; Pseudomonadati; Pseudomonadota; Gammaproteobacteria; Oceanospirillales; Halomonadaceae.